UGGGGAAUAUUGGACAAUGGGGGAAACCCUGAUCCAGCGACGCCGCGUGUGUGAAGAAGGCCUGCGGGUUGUAAAGCACUUUUAGUGGGGAUGAAAAGCCUUGGGAUAACACCCCAGGGUCUUGACCUAACCCACAGAAAAAGCACCGGCUAACUCUGUGCCAGCAGCCGCGGUAAUACAGAGGGUGCGAGCGUUAAUCGGAAUUACUGGGCGUAAAGCGUGCGUAGACGGUAACGUAAGUCAGAUGUGAAAGCCCCGGGCUCAACCUGGGAAUUGCAUUUGAGACUGCGUUGCUCGGGUGCGGAAGAGGGAAGCGGAAUUUCCGGUGUAGCGGUGAAAUGCGUAGAUAUCGGAAGGAACACCAGUGGCGAAAGCGGCUUCCUGGUCCGACACCGACGUUCAGGCACGAAAGCGUGGGGAGCAAAC
This 426-nucleotide ribosomal RNA is filed under the name uncultured bacterium. RNAcentral's name for it is "bacterial SSU rRNA". It matches the Rfam family "Bacterial small subunit ribosomal RNA", at positions 355 to 773 of the family's 1533-position model. The record is from RNAcentral.